This 497-nucleotide ribosomal RNA is filed under the name uncultured bacterium. Its description in RNAcentral is "partial 16S ribosomal RNA". It matches the Rfam family "Bacterial small subunit ribosomal RNA", at positions 28 to 507 of the family's 1533-position model. The record is from RNAcentral.
GAUGAACGCUGGCGGCGUGCCUAAUACAUGCAAGUCGAGCGAACAGAUGAGGAGCUUGCUCCUCUGACGUUAGCGGCGGACGGGUGAGUAACACGUGGAUAACCUACCUAUAAGACUGGGAUAACUUCGGGAAACCGGAGCUAAUACCGGAUAAUAUAUUGAACCGCAUGGUUCAAUAGUGAAAGACGGUUUUGCUGUCACUUAUAGAUGGAUCCGCGCCGCAUUAGCUAGUUGGUAAGGUAACGGCUUACCAAGGCAACGAUGCGUAGCCGACCUGAGAGAGUGAUAGGCGACACUGGAGGUUGGACAGGGACCAGGCUCCUACGGGAGGCAGCAGACGGGAAUGUGCGGCAGUGGGCGAAAGCCUGACGGAGCAACGCGGCGUGAGUGAUAAAGGUCUUGGGAGCGUAAAACUCUGUUACUGGGGAAGAACAGAUGUGUACGUAACUGUGCACGUCUUGACGGUACCGAAUCAGAAAGCCACGGCUAACUACGUG